UACGUAGGGGGCUAGCGUUGUCCGGAAUCAUUGGGCGUAAAGCGCGUGUAGGCGGUCCGGUAAGUCCGCUGUGAAAGUCGGGGGCUCAACCCUCGGAUGCCGGUGGAUACUGUCGGGCUUGAGUACGGAAGAGGCGAGUGGAAUUCCUGGUGUAGCGGUGAAAUGCGCAGAUAUCAGGAGGAACACCAAUGGCGAAGGCAGCUCGCUGGGACGUUACUGACGCUGAGGCGCGAAAGCCAGGGGAGCGAACGGG
Molecule: ribosomal RNA, 253 nt
Filed under: uncultured bacterium
Lineage: Bacteria
Description: partial 16S ribosomal RNA
Rfam family: Bacterial small subunit ribosomal RNA
Source: RNAcentral